RNAcentral lists this ribosomal RNA (371 nucleotides) under uncultured bacterium. Its description in RNAcentral is "bacterial SSU rRNA". It matches the Rfam family "Bacterial small subunit ribosomal RNA", at positions 527 to 896 of the family's 1533-position model. The record is from RNAcentral.
AGAGGUGGCAAGCGUUGUUCGGAUUUAUUGGGUGUAAAGGGCAGGUAGGUGGUCAUGUAAGUCCGCUGUGAAAUCCUAGGGCUCAACCCUAGAACUGCAGUAGAAACUACACGACUUGAGUGUCGGAGAGGUGAGGGGAAUUCUCGGUGUAAGGGUGAAAUCUGUAGAUAUCGAGAGGAAUACCAGUGGCGAAGGCGCCUCACUGGCCGACAACUGACACUGAGCUGCGAAAGCAAGGGGAGCAAACAGGAUUAGAUACCCUGGUAGUCCUUGCCGUAAACGAUGUGGAUUGGGUGUUGGGAGUGUCGAUCCUCUCAAUGCCGAAGUUAACACAUUAAAUCCACCACCUGGGGAGUACGGUCGCAAGACUG